This 405-nucleotide ribosomal RNA is filed under the name uncultured bacterium. RNAcentral's name for it is "partial 16S ribosomal RNA". It matches the Rfam family "Bacterial small subunit ribosomal RNA", at positions 28 to 526 of the family's 1533-position model. The record is from RNAcentral.
GAUGAACGCUGGCGGCGUGCCUAAUACAUGCAAGUCGAGCGAAGCGGGGACGGGUGAGUAACACGUGGAUAACCUCCUAUAAGACUGGGAUAACUUCGGGAAACCGGAGCUAAACCGGAAACUUAUAGAUGGAUCCGCGCUGCAUUAGCUAGUUGGUAAGGUAACGGCUUACCAGGGCAACGAUGCAUAGCCGACCUGAGAGGGUGAUAGGCCAACCUGGAACUGAGACACGGUCCAGACUCCUACGGGAGGAAGCAGUAGGGAAUCUUCCGCAGUGGGCGAAAGCCUGACGAGGCAACGCCGCGUGAGUGAUGAAGGACUUCGGAUCUUAAGACUCUGUAAUUGGGGAAGCGGUACCUAAUCAGAAAGCCACGGCUAACUACGUACCAGCAGCCGCGGUAAUAC